Molecule: long non-coding RNA, 2760 nt
Organism: Bolinopsis microptera
Lineage: Eukaryota; Metazoa; Ctenophora; Tentaculata; Lobata; Bolinopsidae
Exons: 3
Source: RefSeq, a predicted model, not a curated record
UUGUGAAGUUCCCGGUGGGAAAAGCAGUGGCUUAAAGAUUGUUAAAGUUUCAAAUUUAUUAGAGCUUAUAGUUAAAAGAAUACUUACAAUUAUUUUAACAGCAUUGAUUUUUGAUUAUUGUGUUGACAAACUAGCCGAGGUGUUACAAGAGUGCCAUGAGAACCAGCUCAGCCUUCAACUCCCCAAAGACCUGUCAACCAGCACGCUACAAAAAGGGAAGCUCGCCUUCCGCCUUCCGCCUUUCGCCUUCUGCAUUCACCUGUUCCUAUCAUGGCCCGGGGUCUUGCUCUGCUGUAUCCGUUCUCUCUCCACAUGUUACUCAUUUCUAUUAUAGAUUCCUCGCACUACUAGUACUACCUGUUCCCGAUAGAUCCUUCCAGAAUUAGGCUAUGGAGUUCCUUUCCUGAGGCAAUAUGACGGUGAUACCCACCCCACUUGCUCUGCCUGUCCUCACCUAAGCUCCACCAGUCGCAUUGCUUUAUUGAUUCCCCCCUCCUUCCUCGAGAACCGUUCGUCACUAUGUUAGAUCCUCGAGAUGACCAUGCAAGAUGGUUCAGUUCUAGUUGACAUUCCACUAUAUGAAAAGGCCAGAUCGCCACUUUAUAUUCUUAUUCCUUGAGAGAGAGAGAACCGGAACAGCGACCUCGUGAAUCAUCCUAUUUAAUCGCUUCACCCUCGCCACAUUCGCUACUACUUCAAUUAUUGGGAAUACCGAAAAAGUUACGAACAAGUUGAGAGAACUUACAAGGUCAGAUGUUGUAGCGAUAAUAAAUAAAUUAGAAACAUUGCCCUUUGUAGCAGCAAAUCCUUUUGCACUGUGUUAGAAUUGUUUAUGCUGUGUGAAGUAGUACCGUCGGCUGAUCGAAGUAUAGCCGCUUAGUAGUAUCAUAUUUAAAAAAAGUCAAGUAGUUUAGAUAAGAGUUGUAGUAUUCGAAUUAAGAAGUAUGUAUUAUUGAUUAAGUAAUUGCGUGAAUUAAAGAUAUAAACGGCUGAUCGAAGAAUAGCCAAUGUAGAGUUUCGUAUUUUAAUUUUUUUUUAAAAGUUUAUUUUGUCGUGCUUUUGUGAGAAAAUGUGCUAUAGAAAUUUUAUCGAUCAUAACAUGUAAUUGUAGAAUCAUUAUAACUUUUAAUUGUUGUGCUGUAAUUACCGCUGAAGUAGAGUUAUGUGAAAAAAACCUUGAGGAGAGACACUUUAUAAUUUUAAUUUAAGUUGCCUAUUAGCUGUUUGUAAGGGAAUGAUCCGAUAAAUGUAUUUGAUUAAUAUUAAUUACUUAUUAAACAAUUUAAAAAUUAUUAGAAAAUUUAACAAACGAAAAGUAUUAUCUAAAUGUACCGAGAUGGAAGUAUUUAAGAGGACAUUACCAUGAGGUACACGUUAACGAAGACUAUAAGUAUAGAGAAGUGUAUACCUCCACUGAACAUCAUAUUCCGCACUGUUCUCUCUAAACUCAGUACACCAGAAUAGGCACUACAAUUACAACGACUUUACUUUUAAAUAUUAACUUAUGGUAAUUCAAAUGUUUGUUUGUACGAUUAUAUUUAAUUUUGUUGGUUGUGCGCGAGAAAUUCGAUAGGUCUUUAAAUUAACGAUUUUUUACCAUAAGAACGGGCAUACCUUAUUACUAAUAGUUCUUUUGGAAAUUUUUUAAAAGAAAAAGAAGAAGGUUGUAGAUUUAUCAUUUUCUUUAAAGUAUAGAUAGUUUUGCUUUGACGUGGUCGUCAUUAAUUUUCGAUCGGGGAGAUGUUAGAUAGGGGUAUAGUGAAUUGAGGGUGAACAGGUUUGCAAUAUCUCACGGCCUGUAUUAUGGUAAUUUAUAGAAUAGUUUUAGUUUUACUGAAAGACUGGUAGUCGAUCUAGACUGGUAGUCAGAUAAGUUUUGAAGUCUUUAUCAAUAGGGUUGCAAUGUCCCACGGCGUGAAGCUGUAGUUAGUAUUUUAAGUCUUCGUAAAUUAGUAGUUAUUUAGAGUUGUGAAGUUCCCGGUGGGAAAAGCAGUGGCUUAAAGAUUGUUAAAGUUUCAAAUUUAUUAGAGCUUAUAGUUAAAAGAAUACUUACAAUUAUUUUAACAGCAUUGAUUUUUGAUUAUUGUGUUGACAAACUAGCCGAGGUGUUACAAGAGUGCCAUGAGAACCAGCUCAGCCUUCAACUCCCCAAAGACCUGUCAACCAGCACGCUACAAAAAGGGAAGCUCGCCUUCCGCCUUCCGCCUUUCGCCUUCUGCAUUCACCUGUUCCUAUCAUGGCCCGGGGUCUUGCUCUGCUGUAUCCGUUCUCUCUCCACAUGUUACUCAUUUCUAUUAUAGAUUCCUCGCACUACUAGUACUACCUGUUCCCGAUAGAUCCUUCCAGAAUUAGGCUAUGGAGUUCCUUUCCUGAGGCAAUAUGACGGUGAUACCCACCCCACUUGCUCUGCCUGUCCUCACCUAAGCUCCACCAGUCGCAUUGCUUUAUUGAUUCCCCCCUCCUUCCUCGAGAACCGUUCGUCACUAUGUUAGAUCCUCGAGAUGACCAUGCAAGAUGGUUCAGUUCUAGUUGACAUUCCACUAUAUGAAAAGGCCAGAUCGCCACUUUAUAUUCUUAUUCCUUGAGAGAGAGAGAACCGGAACAGCAACCUCGUGAAUCAUCCUAUUUAAUCGCUUCACCCUCGCCACAUUCGCUACUACUUCAAUUAUUGGGGUAAAUGGACAUUAAGACUAAGUUAUGAGAUAUGAGAGAUAAAUUAAUAUUGUAGUCCUAUUUAACCCUAUUAUUUUACAACCCUUU